GGGAAAAAAAAAACAAAGGAAGGAAGAGAGAAAAGAGAAUGAGAGGAAGAGAAGGAAGGGGAAAAACAAGAUUGACUUUACAGUAUGAGAUAUACUAUUAUAUAUUGGACCCUUGGUGGGCAGUGCCUAAACAGAGACAACUACAGGUUUCUGGCUGUGGCCACUCUCUGGUGAAACUAAGGGGUUUCUGUGUGGAGGUGCCUAACAGCCACCGUCCAGUUUGGUAGUAUGAUGCCUCUGGCUUCCCUCUAUCACACGUCUUCUUUUCGAGUAAAGGUUUUUCAUAAAUGUGAGCGUGGAAGAAGAAACCAGUUAAAUAUGGAACUUCACACCAGGACACAAAAGGACUUCAAACUUUUAGAUUCCACAAGUAUGUGAAAAGAUGCAGUAUUUGUCUUUCUGUGCAUGGUUUACUUCACUUAUCAUCAUGUCCCUCAGGUUCAUCCACGUUGUUGCAAAUGACAGGAUUUCAUUCAUUUUUAAGACUGAAUAGUACUCCAUUAUGCAAAUAUACCAGAUUUUCAUUGUCUAUUCGUUCACUGAUGAACACGGGUUAAUCCUAUAUGUUGGCUAUUGUGAAUAAAGCUGCAAUGAAUAUGAGAGUACAGAUAUAUUCUUGACAUAUUAAUUUUAUUUUAUUUGGCAAUAUACCCAAUAGUAGCUAGAUCAUAUCAGAGUUCUAUUUUUAAUUUUUGAGGAAACUUCAUACUGUUUUUCAUAAUAGUUAUUACUAAUUUACACUCAGUAUACAAGAGUUCCCUUUUCUCCACAUUCUUUCCAAAAUUUGUUUCCUUUUCCCUUUUUGAUAACAGCUACUCUAACUGGGGUGAAAUAAUAUCUCACUGUGGUUUUAAUUUUCAUUUAUCUGAUUAAUGAUUUUGAGCUUUUUAAA
Molecule: long non-coding RNA, 892 nt
Filed under: Homo sapiens (human)
Lineage: Eukaryota; Metazoa; Chordata; Mammalia; Primates; Hominidae
Description: HSALNT0312815
Source: RNAcentral